GCCGAGCGGUAUUUGUUCUUCGGAACAGAGAGAGCGGCGUACGGGUGCGUAACACGUGUGCAACCUGCCUUUAUCUGGGGGAUAGCCUUUCGAAAGGAAGAUUAAUACCCCAUAAUAUAUUUUACGGCAUCGUAAGAUAUUGAAAACUCCGGUGGAUAGAGAUGGGCACGCGCAAGAUUAGAUAGUUGGUGAGGUAACGGCUCACCAAGUCAAUGAUCUUUAGGGGGCCUGAGAGGGUGAUCCCCCACACUGGUACUGAGACACGGACCAGACUCCUACGGGAGGCAGCAGUGAGGAAUAUUGGACAAUGGGUGAGAGCCUGAUCCAGCCAUCCCGCGUGAAGGACUAAGGCCCUAUGGGUUGUAAACUUCUUUUAUACUGGGAUAAACCUACUUACGUGUAAGUAGCUGAAGGUACAGUAUGAAUAAGCACCGGCUAACUCCGUGCCAGCAGCCGCGGUAAUACGGAGGGUGCAAGCGUUAUCCGGAUUUAUUGGGUUUAAAGGGUCCGUAGGCGGAUCUGUAAGUCAGUGGUGAAAUCUCAUAGCUUAACUAUGAAACUGCCAUUGAUACUGCAGGUCUUGAGUGAGAUUGAGGUAGCUGGAAUAAGUAGUGUAGCGGUGAAAUGCAUAGAUAUUACUUAGAACACCAAUUGCGAAGGCAGGUUACCAAGUCUUAACUGACGCUGAUGGACGAAAGCGU
This 701-nucleotide ribosomal RNA is filed under the name uncultured bacterium. RNAcentral's name for it is "bacterial SSU rRNA". It matches the Rfam family "Bacterial small subunit ribosomal RNA", at positions 61 to 762 of the family's 1533-position model. The record is from RNAcentral.